AGAGUUUGAUCCUGGCUCAGAGCGAACGCUGGCGGCAGGCUUAACACAUGCAAGUCGAGCGGGCGUAGCAAUACGUCAGCGGCAGACGGGUGAGUAACGCGUGGGAACGUACCUUUGGUUCGGAACAACACAGGGAAACUUGUGCUAAUACCGGAUAAGCCCUUACGGGGAAAGAUUUAUCGCCGAAAGAUCGGCCCGCGUCUGAUUAGCUAGUUGGUGAGGUAACGGCUCACCAAGGCGACGAUCAGUAGCUGGUCUGAGAGGAUGAUCAGCCACAUUGGGACUGAGACACGGCCCAAACUCCUACGGGAGGCAGCAGUGGGGAAUAUUGGACAAUGGGCGCAAGCCUGAUCCAGCCAUGCCGCGUGAGUGAUGAAGGCCCUAGGGUUGUAAAGCUCUUUUGUGCGGGAAGAUAAUGACGGUACCGCAAGAAUAAGCCCCGGCUAACUUCGUG
RNAcentral lists this ribosomal RNA (454 nucleotides) under uncultured bacterium. RNAcentral describes it as "bacterial SSU rRNA". It matches the Rfam family "Bacterial small subunit ribosomal RNA", at positions 8 to 507 of the family's 1533-position model. The record is from RNAcentral.